RNAcentral lists this long non-coding RNA (718 nucleotides) under Homo sapiens (human). RNAcentral's name for it is "HSALNT0114522". The record is from RNAcentral. Lineage: Eukaryota; Metazoa; Chordata; Mammalia; Primates; Hominidae.
AUUUCGAACUGAAAUUUUCAUUCAAAAAUAUUUAUUGAAUGCCGGCUAUGUGCUGAAGAUUCUUAAGAUACAUCAGUGAACAAAUCAAAGUUCCCUGCUUUCUUGGAGCUUGCAUUCCAGCGGGAGGAGAGGAUUUGGAGGAAGAAUGGGAUAGACAAUAAAUGAGACACUGUACAUGAAGUUUCCAGAACCAGCCAUGUCCAUCUUACUAAUCAAGACUCUCUCUGUUAAAUCUGCAACUCAAAUGACUUUAAGGAAAAAUGGAUUUCAUUGAUUCACAUAACCAUCACUCAAGGACUAACUUUCAACAUAGUGAGAUCCUGAGGCUCAAAUAUUAUUACCCGGAACAACCUUCAGUACAUAAGUAAUGGCUGCUGGAUGUAACUUGCAAUUGGGUGGCAGGUCGGCAAGGAAAGAAUUCCAAACAGAGGACUUUCUGAAAGCCUAAUUAUACAUAUUGAAUGUAACAAAAGGAAAAUAGUUUUUAAGGGUUCCAUGAACUGCUUCCUCUGACAUGAGAUCUAACAAGGCUAAAGACUAAAAUGCAGCUGUUUACAGCGUAAGUAGGAGGCCGUCCCGUGCAGUGCAAAAUCAACAGAGAGGAGACAGUCCUAUGCCUUCGAGAGACAGUCUGCUGAUACUGUCAUGAUGUCUAGUGACAGGCCAGAGAUCAAAACCCAACACCCUCAUUUACCUGACAGUGAUUUGGCCAAUCCCU